CUACGGGUCGCUCCAGUGGGGAAUAUUGGACAAUGGGCGCAAGCCUGAUCCAGCAAUGCCGCGUGAGUGAAGACGGCCUUAGGGUUGUAAAACUCUUUCGCUAGGGAAGAUAAUGACUGUACCUAGUAAAGAAGUCCCGGCUAACUCCGUGCCAGCAGCCGCGGUAAUAAGGAGGGGACUAGCGUUGUUCGGAAUUACUGGGCGUAAAGAGUUCGUAGGCGGACUGACAAGUUAGAGGUGAAAUCCCAGGGCUCAACCCUGGAACUGCCUUUAAAACUGUCAGUCUAGAGACCGGAAGAGGUUAGGGGAAUACCUAGUGUAGAGGUGAAAUUCGUAGAUAUUAGGUGGAACACCAGUGGCGAAGGCGCCUAACUGGUCCGGUACUGACGCUGAGGAACGAAAGCGUGGGGAGCAAACAGGAUUAGAUACCCUCGUAGUC
Molecule: ribosomal RNA, 439 nt
Filed under: uncultured bacterium
Lineage: Bacteria
Description: partial 16S ribosomal RNA
Rfam family: Bacterial small subunit ribosomal RNA
Source: RNAcentral